GUGCAGCAGCCCUCAUAUACAAUUUUUAUCAUUCAUGGAGCGAAGUGAACGGAUACAUAAUACAGCUGGGAUACUAACAUCCAGAAAAGCCAUAUUAGCACAACAUCCAAGUGAAAUGAAAGUCACCUAAGUUGUUUCUUCUUCCUGUCGUUGUUGUUGUAACUGAUGAUAUGCAAGCUUUGUCUUAAUAUGUCAACCAUCCACCAGUUACUUUGUAUUAUAUCAUCGAUUUUAGUAACAUAUGGCAUAUUCAACUGGGUGCGCAUGUAUGUCUCUUAAAAGAACGAUGCUGACAUCACUUCUUAAACUCAUAAUACAUACCCACAAUACUUUUCACAGCAGGGGAAUUGUUUAAGCAGGGGCAAUCCUUUCCACACUCCGAGUUGC
This 387-nucleotide long non-coding RNA is filed under the name Helianthus annuus (common sunflower). RNAcentral describes it as "hypothetical non coding rna". The record is from RNAcentral. Lineage: Eukaryota; Viridiplantae; Streptophyta; Magnoliopsida; Asterales; Asteraceae.